RNAcentral lists this non-coding RNA (31 nucleotides) under Homo sapiens (human). Lineage: Eukaryota; Metazoa; Chordata; Mammalia; Primates; Hominidae. The record is from RNAcentral.
UCGCUGGGAAAACCAAACCCCAACUGGUUGC